GCCAGACUCCUACGGGAGGCAGCAGUGGGGAAUAUUGGGCAAUGGGCGCAAGCCUGACCCAGCAACGCCGCGUGAAGGAAGAAGGCUUUCGGGUUGUAAACUUCUUUUGACAGGGAAGAGUAGAAGACGGUACCUGUCGAAUAAGCCACGGCUAACUACGUGCCAGCAGCCGCGGUAAUACGUAGGUGGCAAGCGUUGUCCGGAUUUACUGGGUGUAAAGGGCGUGUAGCCGGGUUGACAAGUCAGAUGUGAAAUCCUACGGCUUAACCGCAGAACUGCAUUUGAAACUGUUGAUCUUGAGUACUGGAGAGGCAGACGGAAUUCCUAGUGUAGCGGUGAAAUGCGUAGAUAUUAGGAGGAACACCAGUGGCGAAGGCGGUCUGCUGGACAGCAACUGACGGUGAGGCGCGAAAGCGUGGGGAGCAAACAGGAUUAGAUACCCUAGUAA
This 448-nucleotide ribosomal RNA is filed under the name uncultured bacterium. RNAcentral's name for it is "bacterial SSU rRNA". It matches the Rfam family "Bacterial small subunit ribosomal RNA", at positions 330 to 793 of the family's 1533-position model. The record is from RNAcentral.